CUCAAGGACACUUUACUAUGGCCUCAUAAAACAAACACUAAACCAACCAUUAAACUGCGGUUCCGCAGCCACUGAAAAUGACUGAGGGAUGGGCCAGCAGACAUCCUCCGCCAGCUCACUCCUACCCCAGCCCCGAGCCUCCCUCCCGGCCUCUGUCCACCCUCCACCCUUGUCCUUGACCUCCCUUGCCUUCCCCUUGCUCUGACCGCUCCCAUCCUCUCUCAUCCCUGACCAAGGCGGCCUCCCGAGUAUGGGUGGAGAGUGGAGUGGGAUGGACAGAGCAUGUCUGCGGGGCACAUCCCCGAGACCCAGUAGCUCCCAUCUGCAGGCAGCGGGGCCGCCCUCUCCCUGCCCCAAGGCAGGCCACGCUCAUUUCUCUUUCCCCUUGUACUUGUAGCCUCCAGAGGUGAAGUCCCCAGUGGAGCCUAUGGCUACUCUUACAUGCCCAGCGGGGCCUAUGUCUAUCCCCCGCCAGUCGCCAAUGGAAUGUACCCCUGCCCUCCUGGCUACCCCUAUCCACCGCCCCCGCCUGAGUUCUAUCCAGGACCCCCCAUGAUGGACGGGGCCAUGGGAUACGUGCAGCCCCCACCACCACCCUACCCUGGGCCCAUGGAACCUCCGGUCAGCGGCCCCGAUGUCCCCUCCACUCCUGCAGCCGAAGCCAAGGCCGCAGAAGCAGCUGCCAGCGCCUAUUACAACCCGGGCAAUCCUCACAACGUCUACAUGCCCACGAGCCAGCCGCCACCA
Molecule: small RNA, 747 nt
Filed under: Pongo abelii (Sumatran orangutan)
Lineage: Eukaryota; Metazoa; Chordata; Mammalia; Primates; Hominidae
Description: retained intron
Source: RNAcentral